Molecule: ribosomal RNA, 3071 nt
Filed under: Campylobacter coli
Lineage: Bacteria; Pseudomonadati; Campylobacterota; Epsilonproteobacteria; Campylobacterales; Campylobacteraceae
Description: 23S ribosomal RNA
Rfam family: Bacterial large subunit ribosomal RNA
Source: RNAcentral
AAAAAAGGUAAGCUACUAAGAGCGAAUGGUGGAUGCCUUGACUGGUAAAGGCGAUGAAGGACGUACUAGACUGCGAUAAGCUACGGGGAGCUGUCAAGAAGCUUUGAUCCGUAGAUUUCCGAAUGGGGCAACCCAAUGUAUAGAGAUAUACAUUACCUAUAUAGGAGCGAACGAGGGGAAUUGAAACAUCUUAGUACCCUCAGGAAAAGAAAUCAAUAGAGAUUGCGUCAGUAGCGGCGAGCGAAAGCGCAAGAGGGCAAACCCAGUGCUUGCACUGGGGGUUGUAGGACUGCAAUGUGCAAGAGGUGAGUUUAGCAGAACAUUCUGGAAAGUAUAACCAUAGAGGGUGAUAGUCCCGUAUGCGAAAAACAAACCUUAGCUAGCAGUAUCCUGAGUAGGGCGGGACACGAGGAAUCCUGUCUGAAGCUGGGUCGACCACGAUCCAACCCUAAAUACUAAUACCAGAUCGAUAGUGCACAAGUACCGUGAGGGAAAGGUGAAAAGAACUGAGGUGAUCAGAGUGAAAUAGAACCUGAAACCAUUUGCUUACAAUCAUUCAGAGCCCUAUGUAGCAAUACAGGGUGAUGGACUGCCUUUUGCAUAAUGAGCCUGCGAGUUGUGGUGUCUGGCAAGGUUAAGCAAACGCGAAGCCGUAGCGAAAGCGAGUCUGAAUAGGGCGCUUAGUCAGAUGCUGCAGACCCGAAACGAAGUGAUCUAUCCAUGAGCAAGUUGAAGCUAGUGUAAGAACUAGUGGAGGACUGAACCCAUAGGCGUUGAAAAGCCCCGGGAUGACUUGUGGAUAGGGGUGAAAGGCCAAUCAAACUUCGUGAUAGCUGGUUCUCUCCGAAAUAUAUUUAGGUAUAGCGUUGUGUCGUAAUAUAAGGGGGUAGAGCACUGAAUGGGCUAGGGCAUACACCAAUGUACCAAACCCUAUCAAACUCCGAAUACCUUAUAUGUAAUCACAGCAGUCAGGCGGCGAGUGAUAAAAUCCGUCGUCAAGAGGGAAACAACCCAGACUACCAGCUAAGGUCCCUAAAUCUUACUUAAGUGGAAAACGAUGUGAAGUUACUUAAACAACCAGGAGGUUGGCUUAGAAGCAGCCAUCCUUUAAAGAAAGCGUAAUAGCUCACUGGUCUAGUGAUUUUGCGCGGAAAAUAUAACGGGGCUAAAGUAAGUACCGAAGCUGUAGACUUGCACACAACUUAGAUUAUUUAAGUUUAGAAUAUGAGAAACUAAGUUAUAUGUUUAGUUAUAUUUUUACUGAUUUUUAUAGAGUAAAGAUAGAAAUAAAACUUAGUAAAAUCAGUAAAAAUAUUCUUAGACUAAAGUUAAGUAGUUUAAGUUGUGUGCAAGUGGUAGGAGAGCGUUCUAUUUGCGUCGAAGGUAUACCGGUAAGGAGUGCUGGAGCGAAUAGAAGUGAGCAUGCAGGCAUGAGUAGCGAUAAUUAAUGUGAGAAUCAUUAACGCCGUAAACCCAAGGUUUCCUACGCGAUGCUCGUCAUCGUAGGGUUAGUCGGGUCCUAAGUCGAGUCCGAAAGGGGUAGACGAUGGCAAAUUGGUUAAUAUUCCAAUACCAACAUUAGUGUGCGAUGGAAGGACGCUUAGGGCUAAGGGGGCUAGCGGAUGGAAGUGCUAGUCUAAGGUCGUAGGAGGUUAUACAGGCAAAUCCGUAUAACAAUACUCCGAGAACUGAAAGGCUUUUUGAAGUCUUCGGAUGGAUAGAAGAACCCCUGAUGCCGUCGAGCCAAGAAAAGUUUCUAAGUUUAGCUAAUGUUGCCCGUACCGUAAACCGACACAGGUGGGUGGGAUGAGUAUUCUAAGGCGCGUGGAAGAACUCUCUUUAAGGAACUCUGCAAAAUAGCACCGUAUCUUCGGUAUAAGGUGUGGUUCGCUUCGUAUUAGGAUUUACUCCGAAAGCGAAGAAACUUACAACAAAGAGUCCCUCCCGACUGUUUACCAAAAACACAGCACUCUGCUAACUCGUAAGAGGAUGUAUAGGGUGUGACGCCUGCCCGGUGCUCGAAGGUUAAUUGAUGGGGUUAGCAUUAGCGAAGCUCUUGAUCGAAGCCCGAGUAAACGGCGGCCGUAACUAUAACGGUCCUAAGGUAGCGAAAUUCCUUGUCGGUUAAAUACCGACCUGCAUGAAUGGCGUAACGAGAUGGGAGCUGUCUCAAAGAGGGAUCCAGUGAAAUUGUAGUGGAGGUGAAAAUUCCUCCUACCCGCGGCAAGACGGAAAGACCCCGUGGACCUUUACUACAGCUUGACACUGCUAUUUGGAUAAGAAUGUGCAGGAUAGGUGGGAGGCUUUGAGUAUAUGACGCCAGUUGUAUAUGAGCCAUUGUUGAGAUACCACUCUUUCUUAUUUGGGUAGCUAACCAGCUUGAGUUAUCCUCAAGUGGGACAAUGUCUGGUGGGUAGUUUGACUGGGGCGGUCGCCUCCCAAAUAAUAACGGAGGCUUACAAAGGUUGGCUCAGAACGGUUGGAAAUCGUUCGUAGAGUAUAAAGGUAUAAGCCAGCUUAACUGCAAGACAUACAAGUCAAGCAGAGACGAAAGUCGGUCUUAGUGAUCCGGUGGUUCUGUGUGGAAGGGCCAUCGCUCAAAGGAUAAAAGGUACCCCGGGGAUAACAGGCUGAUCUCCCCCAAGAGCUCACAUCGACGGGGAGGUUUGGCACCUCGAUGUCGGCUCAUCGCAUCCUGGGGCUGGAGCAGGUCCCAAGGGUAUGGCUGUUCGCCAUUUAAAGCGGUACGCGAGCUGGGUUCAGAACGUCGUGAGACAGUUCGGUCCCUAUCUGCCGUGGGCGUAAGAAGAUUGAAGAGAUUUGACCCUAGUACGAGAGGACCGGGUUGAACAAACCACUGGUGUAGCUGUUGUUCUGCCAAGAGCAUCGCAGCGUAGCUAAGUUUGGAAAGGAUAAACGCUGAAAGCAUCUAAGCGUGAAGCCAACUCUAAGAUGAAUCUUCUCUAAGCUCUCUAGAAGACUACUAGUUUGAUAGGCUGGGUGUGUAAUGGAUGAAAGUCCUUUAGCUGACCAGUACUAAUAGAGCGUUUGGCUUAUCUUUAAUAAAGCAU